CAAGCUACACAGAGUACGAGGUGGAUGCCUUGGCACGAAAGACCGAUGAAGGACGCGGAGACCGGCGAAACGUUCGAGGGGAGCUGCAUACAAGCUAUGAACCUCGAGAUUCCGAAUGGGGCAACCCAUCCAGAGUGAUGUCUGGAUACUCCCUGUUGAACACAUAGACAGGGUAGAGGGCAGCGGGCGAACUGAAACAUCUCAGUAGCUCGACGAAAAGAAAUCAACCGAGAUUCCCGUAGUAGUGGCGAGCGAACCGGGAGGAGCCCAAACCAUCCGUUCUUCGGAACGGGCGGGGUUGUAGGACUCGCAACAAACAAUGGCCGAUCAUUCGAAUGCGUUGGAAAGCGCAACCAGAGCAGGUGAGAGUCCUGUAGAAGACGAUCAACCGGCGUGGGCGAGGAUCCUGAGUACCACGAGGCACGUGAAACCUUGUGGGAAGCUGGGGGGACCACCCUCCAAGGCUCAACAUCUUUCGUGACCGAUAGCGAACAAGUACCGUGAGGGAAAGGUGAAAAGCACCCCGAGAGGGGGAUGAAAGAGACCCUGAAACCACGUACUCACCAGCAGUCAGAGGCCACUGUUCCAGGAGGAACUAAGGGCUGAUGGCGUGCCUUUUGUAGAAUGAUCCGGCGAGUGCAUCGUCGUAGCAGGUUAACCAGCGGUAAAGCUGGGGAGCCAGAGGGCAACCGAGUCUGAAGCAGGCGCGCGUUGCGGCGAUGCGACCCGAAACCACGUGAGCUAUCCAUGAGCAGAGUGAAGCGGAUGUGACAGUCCGUCGAGGCUCGAACCCACCAGUGUUGCAAAACUGGGGGAUGACUUGUGGAUAGGGGAGAAAUUCCAAUCGAACGUGGAGAUAGCUGGUUCUCCCCGAAAUGUAUUGAGGUACAGCUGCAUGUGUUGUCUGUUGGAGGUAGAGCGCUGGAAAGGCUCGGGGCCCUGUGCGGGUUACCAACCCUUCUCAAACUGCGAAUGCCAGCAGAAUGGAGCAUGCAAGUGAGACAGUGGGGGCUAAGCUUCAUUGUCAAAAGGGAAACAGCCCAGAUCACCGGCUAAGGUCUCCAAAUCACUGCUCAGUGUCAAAGGGAGUCAGUACGCAAUAACAGCCAGGAUGUUGGCUUAGAAGCAGCCAUCAUUGAAAGAGUGCGUAAUAGCUCACUGGUCGAGUGUAGUGGCACCGACAACGUAGCGAGGCUUAAGCAGUGUACCGAAGCCGUGAAUUGCAUCACUUGUGGUGCAAUGGUAGGGGAGCGUUCUCAAGCAGAGAAGCCAGACCGGAAGGACUGGUGGAGCGACGAGAAGUGAGAAUGCCGGAAUGAGUAGCGCAAUCUCUGUGAAAACCAGAGACACCGAAUGCCUGAGGGUUCCUGGGCACCGUCAAUCGUCCCAGGGUGAGUCGGGCCCUAAGCCGAGGACGUCAUAGUCGUAGGCGAUGGAAAGCAGGUCAGAGAUUCCUGCACUAGCGUCAGAUCGUUAGUAACAAUGGGGGGACGCAGUAGGGAAGGUGAACCGAUCGAAUGGACAGGAUCGGCGUGUCGUUUGAAGUGCGAGACCGAGGCAAAUCCCGGUCUCCUGUGCAUGACAGCGGCACCGAGCGCGAGCAAUCGUGCGGAAGUCAUCGGACCCCAGGCUGCCAAGAAAAGCCUCUCGUGAGAGCUGACGCUACCCGUACCGCAAACCGACACUGGUAGGCAGGGGGAACUCCCCCAAGGUGAUCGAGCGACCCUCUGUUAAGGAACUCGGCAAAUUGACCCCGUACCUUCGGUAGAAGGGGUGCCCCAGUAGCGUGUUUCGAUGCGUGAGGGGGCUGCAAGAAAUUGGCUCAACCGACUGUUUACCAAAAACACAGGUCUCUGCGAACGCGAAAGCGGAAGUAUAGGGGCUGACUCCUGCCCAGUGCCGGAAGGUUAAGCUAAGUGGUGUUCGUAGCCACGAGGUGAAGCCCCGGUGAACGGCGGCCGUAACUAUAACGGUCCUAAGGUAGCGAAAUUCCUUGUCGGGUAAGUUCCGACCCGCACGAAAGGAGUAACGAGUUGAGCACUGUCUCGACAGAGGACUCGGCGAAAUUGAAGUACCCGUGAAGAUACGGGUUACCCACGACAGGACAAAAAGACCCCGUGGAGCUUUACUACAGCUUGGCCUGGAUACGAGGGACAGCGUGCGUAGCAUAGGUGGGAGCCGGAGAAUCCAUCCUUGUGGGGGUGGAGGAGGCAGCAGUGAAAUACCACUCUCGUUGUGUUUUGUGUCUCACGCCAGACCGUGAACCGGUUGGCAGACAGGACCAGGUGGGUAGUUUGACUGGGGCGGUCGCCUCCCAAAGAGUAACGGAGGCGCUCAAAGGUUCUCUCCGGGUGGAUGGACAUCACCCUUCAAGAGUGUAAAGGCAGAAGAGAGCUUGACUGCAAGGCAGACGCGCCGAGCAGGGACGAAAGUCGGACUUAGUGAUCCCACAUUCCCGAGUGGAAGGAGUGUGGCUCAACGGAUAAAAGCUACCCCGGGGAUAACAGGCUUAUCUUGCCCAAGAGUUCACAUCGACGGCAAGGUUUGGCACCUCGAUGUCGGCUCGUCGCAUCCUGGGGCUGGAGUAGGUCCCAAGGGUUGGGCUGUUCGCCCAUGAAAGCGGCACGCGAGCUGGGUUCAGAACGUCGCGAGACAGUUCGGUCUCUAUCCGUCGUGGGCGUAGGAAGAUUGAGGGGCGUCAUCUCCAGUACGAGAGGACCGAGAUGGCUGAACCGCUGGUGUGCCAGUUGGCCUGCCCGGGCCACAGCUGGAUAGCUAUGUUCAGAAGGGAUAAGCGCUGAAGGCAUCUAAGCGCGAAGCCGCACCCAAGAUGAGUCUUCCCAUCACUUCGUGUGAUCAAGAUCCCAGGAAGAAGACCUGGUCGAUAGACGACACGUGGACGCCUGGUAACAGGUGGAGCGAAGUCGCCCUAAUGAUCGUACGGCUUGUCA
Molecule: ribosomal RNA, 2951 nt
Filed under: Tengunoibacter tsumagoiensis
Lineage: Bacteria; Bacillati; Chloroflexota; Ktedonobacteria; Ktedonobacterales; Dictyobacteraceae
Description: 23S ribosomal RNA
Rfam family: Bacterial large subunit ribosomal RNA
Source: RNAcentral